UGUAGUGGUCUUACCAACUUGACACUGGCUGAUCUGGUCUCAUCUCGAAUGUUAAGCAGAUCUGAGCCUGGUUAGUACUUGGAUCAGAGACCACUCAGAAUACCAGGUGCCACAAUGG
Molecule: ribosomal RNA, 118 nt
Filed under: Periophthalmus magnuspinnatus
Lineage: Eukaryota; Metazoa; Chordata; Actinopteri; Gobiiformes; Gobiidae
Source: RNAcentral